Molecule: long non-coding RNA, 259 nt
Filed under: Mytilus galloprovincialis (Mediterranean mussel)
Lineage: Eukaryota; Metazoa; Mollusca; Bivalvia; Mytilida; Mytilidae
Source: RNAcentral
AAAAAGAAAAUUUCUUCAAACAUUUUUUUGAGAGGAUUAAUAUUGAACAGCAUAGUGAAUUGCUCUAAGAGAAAACAAAAAUUUUAAGUUCAUUAGAACACAUUCAUUCUGUGUCAGAAACCUAUGCUGUGUCAACUAUUUAAUCACAAUCCAAAUUUAGAGCUGAAUCCAGCUUGAAUGUUGUGUCCAUACUUGCCCCAACCGUUCAGGGUUCAACCUCUGCGGUCGUAUUAAGCUACGCCCUGCGAAGCAUCUGGUU